AUUGAACGCUGGCGGCAGGCCUAACACAUGCAAGUCGAGCGGCAGCGGAAAGUAGCUUGCUACUUUGCCGGCGAGCGGCGGACGGGUGAGUAAUGUCUGGGAAACUGCCUGAUGGAGGGGGAUAACUACUGGAAACGGUAGCUAAUACCGCAUAACGUCGCAAGACCAAAGAGGGGGACCUUCGGGUCUCUUGCCAUCAGAUGUGACCAGAUGGGAUUAGCUAGUAGGUGGGGUAACGGCUCACCUAGGCGACGAUCCCUAGCUGGUCUGAGAGGAUGACCAGCCACACUGGAACUGAGACACGGUCCAGACUCCUACGGGAGGCAGCAGUGGGGAAUAUUGCACAAUGGGCGCAAGCCUGAUGCAGCCAUGCCGCGUGUAUGAAGAAGGCCUUCGGGUUGUAAAGUACUUUCAGCGGGGAGGAAGGCGUUGAGGUUAAUAACCUCAGUGAUUGACGUUACCCGCAGAAGAAGCACCGGCUAACUCCGUGCCAGCCGCCGCCGUAA
RNAcentral lists this ribosomal RNA (506 nucleotides) under uncultured bacterium. RNAcentral describes it as "partial 16S ribosomal RNA". It matches the Rfam family "Bacterial small subunit ribosomal RNA", at positions 30 to 523 of the family's 1533-position model. The record is from RNAcentral.